UACGAAGGGGGCUAGCGUUGCUCGGAAUUACUGGGCGUAAAGCGUGCGUAGGUGGUUCGUUAAGUCUGAUGUGAAAGCCCUGGGCUCAACCUGGGAAUGGCAUUGGAUACUGGCGACCUAGAGUGCGGUAGAGGGUGGCGGAAUUCCCGGUGUAGCAGUGAAAUGCGUAGAUAUCGAGAGGAACACCGGUGGCGAAGGCGGCCAACUGGACGAAUACUGACGCUGAGACUCGAAAGCGUGGGGAGCAAACAGG
RNAcentral lists this ribosomal RNA (253 nucleotides) under uncultured bacterium. RNAcentral describes it as "partial 16S ribosomal RNA". It matches the Rfam family "Bacterial small subunit ribosomal RNA", at positions 524 to 776 of the family's 1533-position model. The record is from RNAcentral.